AUGAUUUGUGGAAAAACUGGAUAACAGGAUUACUUAAUGACUAUAAAAGAUGCAUUUACACACGCACAUACACACGCACACACACACAACUCAAUUCAAUGCAUUGUUUAGUGUUGUUGCAGGAGGCUACAACAAGGUGUCAAAGCAGUGGUGCCUCCAGAAGUGCCUUAAACAUAUAUUUUAUACACAAUCGCUUGAAAUGCAUAUAACUUUACAAACAUACACAGGAUAGUGAUCUGACUUAGGACAGCAUGAGCACGCAGCUCUUUGCACGUGGGAGCGAAAGAGAGACAGAGAGCGGCGCCAUGAUGCAGAUGAUUAUAUUUUAAAUGCGAGGGAUAGUUAGUUUGCCUCAGCCCGCUUGAAAUGCAUAAAACUGAACAAAUACAUGAGGAUUUGUGUUCGCACUUCGGACAGAUGCGUGAGCGCGUACACGUGAGAGAGGUACAGUGAGACAGACGUGGAUGAGAGAGUGCAUGUAUCUUUGCGCUCACCGUGAACAGAGUGUUGACAAAACUUCCAAAAUAACAGUUCUCCGGUCACAUAAAAGUCAUGUGAGACCUGCUUGAAACUAAGUGCUUAGCGUCGAAUUUCUUAAUUUUUUCGCUGACGAAAGCAGAGUCGUGGAGAGCCGCUUCGCCAUGGUUUCAGUGUUUUGGAAGGGGUCUGAAACGACAGGAGGGGGCGUGUCGCCCAGAUUUACUUCCCCCGGUCUGCAUUUCCCCCAGACAUACGUUCGUCUCCCACACAAAAACACAAUUUUAUUCAAAAUAUGUAAAAUUCCGCAAAAUUCCGCAAAUUACUAGAUUCUGUGUUAAUUAGCCAAUUCCGUGAUUCCGUCCGUGAUUCCGUGAUCGCGGAAAUUAUAGGGCCCUAUUCUUCCCUCACAGGAGUGACAUUCAUAACGUAGCGGCUCCCCUUCCUUCUUUGUCGUAGCUGACUGCUACAGGAGGCCUUAGGAUGUUGAGGAUCUUGAAUGUUUUCAAAAACUGGAUCUUAAGCAAUUUUCACUUGUCUCUCAAUAAAAUAUACAACCCUACUGAAAAAUCCAGCUAAAACCAGCAUAAGCUGGUAGCUGGUUUUAGCUGGUUUAAGGUGGUUUACGCUGUCCUCCCAGCCUGACCAGCUAAGUCCAGCUAGACCAGCUUAAAAUGGGAGCAAAACACAACUAGACCAGCUUGCUACACCAGCAAAACCAGUUUCCUACACCAGCAAAACCAGCUAAAACCAAGCUGGAGACCAGCUAAAACCAGCUCACCAGCUUAUACUGGUCUUAGCUGGAUUUUUCAGUAGGGAAGAUCAAUGAAUGUAGCUCUCUGUCCACUUCGUUCUUGCAGAUCACAUGCAAUAUUCCUCCAUUUUGGAAAUGGAUACUCCGCAUGUUAGUUGGUAAGUCCAGUUCCCUCAUAUACAUUACUUGUUCUGUUAGAUUUGAACAUCCUCUGAGAAACAGAAAUAAUGAUUGUAAUCCAUUCACAUCUUCACCUUUAAUGGGUGUACAGUUAAGUAUUUUUUCCAUGUAGGCGGAUGCAAUUUUAUAUUUAUCUCCAAAAUGCUGAGCAAGAAGACUCUUUCUAUGAGAGGGGUAUAAACGGAGGUCGGAGCCAGCUGCAAAUGGGUGGGUUAGCAGCAAGUGGGUGGAGCUUUACCCGCAAGUGGGCUGUACAAACUUCCAGAGGAUUUUGAUUGGUUUAUUUAUAUCACCUGUAGCAGUUAUUGGUUUAUGCUCCACAGUUGGUGGCGCUAAUGUGUAAGUUUUGUUGCGAUCGAUCAGAAAAGAAGAAAACCGCUUUCACAUGUCAGCGUGUCGUUGAAAUGAAGGGGUAAGUUUGCUGUACAGUUUUUAGUUUUGUAAAAAAGCAUUAUAAGUUUUGAAGAAGACCAUUUUAUAAUGGCGUUUGUACGCUGUUUUUAGUCUUGAUGUAUUAAAAAAGAUAAGGGUUAAGUGUAUCCAGAUACAUUUCUGUAGUUUUUUAUUAGCACACAAAUUACAAAAUCUGUAACGUGGAUGACAAAAUCUUUGCAUAUUAUAGGAUGCACUGUAUGUUAUUCUGGGACAGAAGUUUGACUUCACUGAACUAAACAUGAAGAACAUAGGAAAAUGGUGGUGUGCCAUCUUGCUUGAAAAUUAAACAUGGGAGAAAGAGAAAAUGAGCUGUUGUAGCUGAAGAAGAAGAAGAAGAAGAAUGCUCUGCACUCCCUGAAACCUAUGGGAAGAAAAAAACUGAACUUGCAUAUGAAACAGACCAAACCCCAGUUGUGCCCUCUGUUUUUAGCAAGGAUGAGCUGUUAAAAGAUGAUGACCCUCCAUCAUGCUUCAUCUUCAAGGUAGUUGAAUGUUAUAUAAUGUGCUUUUUAAAAAAAAAUGUAACGGCCUGUGCUAACUUUUCAGUUAUCAGUAGCGUUGCUGAAGAACAUACUUCUUGAAGUUGUUCUUCAAGAAGAAGAUGCUGCCUACACGACCCUGUCAUUGACCUGCUCAAGGUUCAGGGACAUAGUUGGGGAUGACAAGUUCAAGAAUCAGGCACACUUCUUAUGGCUAGAAAGUUAUGCUGGGAAGGGAAAGCGAGGAGAGCUCCAGGGCAUUUAUUCAAAAACCUUCCACCCUGGAUUUUGCAGAUUUGACUGCAUGCAGAUCAGUUCUAAUGAGCUGAUAUAGUUUCCUUACAAAGACUAAAAAUAAUAAAAUAAAAUAAACA
This is a non-coding RNA of Misgurnus anguillicaudatus (oriental weatherfish), 2699 nucleotides long. Lineage: Eukaryota; Metazoa; Chordata; Actinopteri; Cypriniformes; Cobitidae. The record is from RefSeq and is a predicted model, not a curated record.